UCAACUCUUUCCAUAUGAGUGACA
RNAcentral lists this small nuclear RNA (24 nucleotides) under Arabidopsis thaliana (thale cress). RNAcentral describes it as "snRNA_16101". Lineage: Eukaryota; Viridiplantae; Streptophyta; Magnoliopsida; Brassicales; Brassicaceae. The record is from RNAcentral.